Molecule: transfer RNA, 85 nt
Filed under: Felis catus (domestic cat)
Lineage: Eukaryota; Metazoa; Chordata; Mammalia; Carnivora; Felidae
Also listed under: 2 other names
Rfam family: tRNA
About the family: Transfer RNA (tRNA) molecules are approximately 80 nucleotides in length. Their secondary structure includes four short double-helical elements and three loops (D, anti-codon, and T loops). Further hydrogen bonds mediate the characteristic L-shaped molecular structure. tRNAs have two regions of fundamental functional importance: the anti-codon, which is responsible for specific mRNA codon recognition, and the 3' end, to which the tRNAs corresponding amino acid is attached (by aminoacyl-tRNA synthetases). tRNAs cope with the degeneracy of the genetic code in two manners: having more than one tRNA (with a specific anti-codon) for a particular amino acid; and 'wobble' base-pairing, i.e. permitting non-standard base-pairing at the 3rd anti-codon position.
Source: Rfam by way of RNAcentral
ACCUGGGUGGCUUAGUCAGUUAAGUGUCUGACUUUGGCUCAGGUCAUGAACUCAAGACUCGUGAGUUCGAGCCCCGCCUCAGGCU